CGAGCGCAACCCUUGUCCCUAGUUGCUACGCAAGAGCACUCUAGGGGGACUGCCGGUGACAAACCGGAGGAAGGUGGGGAUGACGUCAAGUCCUCAUGGCCCUUAUGGGUAGGGCUUCACACGUCAUACAAUGGUCGGAACAGAGGGUUGCCAAGCCGCGAGGUGGAGCCAAUCCCAGAAAACCGAUCGUAGUCCGGAUCGCAGUCUGCAACUCGACUGCGUGAAGCUGGAAUCGCUAGUAAUCGCGGAUCAGCAUGCCGCGGUGAAUACGUUCCCGGGUCUUGUACACACCGCCCGUCACACCAUGGGAGUGGGUUUUACCAGAAGUGGCUAGUCUAACCGCAAGGAGGACGGUCACCACGGUAGGAU
Molecule: ribosomal RNA, 369 nt
Filed under: uncultured maize root bacterium Zmrc201
Lineage: Bacteria
Description: bacterial SSU rRNA
Rfam family: Bacterial small subunit ribosomal RNA
Source: RNAcentral